UACAGAGGGGGCAAGCGUUGUUCGGAAUUACUGGGCGUAAAGGGCGCGUAGGCGGCCUUCUAAGUCGAACGUGAAAUCCCCGGGCUCAACCCGGGAACUGCGUCCGAUACUGGAAGGCUUGAAUUCGGGAGAGGGAUGCGGAAUUCCAGGUGUAGCGGUGAAAUGCGUAGAUAUCUGGAGGAACACCGGUGGCGAAGGCGGCAUCCUGGACCGGCAUUGACGCUGAGGCGCGAAAGCCAGGGGAGCAAACGGG
Molecule: ribosomal RNA, 253 nt
Filed under: uncultured bacterium
Lineage: Bacteria
Description: partial 16S ribosomal RNA
Rfam family: Bacterial small subunit ribosomal RNA
Source: RNAcentral